RNAcentral lists this ribosomal RNA (1111 nucleotides) under Enterobacter hormaechei. Its description in RNAcentral is "bacterial SSU rRNA". It matches the Rfam family "Bacterial small subunit ribosomal RNA", at positions 40 to 1127 of the family's 1533-position model. The record is from RNAcentral. Lineage: Bacteria; Pseudomonadati; Pseudomonadota; Gammaproteobacteria; Enterobacterales; Enterobacteriaceae.
AGGCGGGUGCUAUACAUGCAAGUCGAGCGAAUCUGAGGGAGCUUGCUCCCAAAGAUUAGCGGCGGACGGGUGAGUAACACGUGGGCAACCUGCCUGUAAGACUGGGAUAACUCCGGGAAACCGGGGCUAAUACCGGAUAAUAUCUAUUUAUACAUAUAAUUAGAUUGAAAGAUGGUUCUGCUAUCACUUACAGAUGGGCCCGCGGCGCAUUAGCUAGUUGGUGAGGUAACGGCUCACCAAGGCGACGAUGCGUAGCCGACCUGAGAGGGUGAUCGGCCACACUGGGACUGAAACACGGCCCAGACUCCUACGGGAGGCAGCAGUAGGGAAUCUUCCGCAAUGGACGAAAGUCUGACGGAACAACGCCGCGUGAGUGAUGAAGGUUUUCGGAUCGUAAAACUCUGUUGUUAGGGAAGAACAAGUACCGGAAUAACUGCCGGUACCUUGACGGUACCUAACCAGAAAGCCACGGCUAACUACGUGCCAGCAGCCGCGGUAAUACGUAGGUGGCAAGCGUUGUCCGGAAUUAUUGGGCGUAAAGCGCGCGCAGGCGGUUCCUUAAGUCUGAUGUGAAAGCCCACGGCUCAACCGUGGAGGGUCAUUGGAAACUGGGGAACUUGAGUGCAGAAGAAGAAAGUGGAAUUCCAAGUGUAGCGGUGAAAUGCGUAGAGAUUUGGAGGAACACCAGUGGCGAAGGCGACUUUCUGGUCUGUAACUGACGCUGAAGCGCGAAAGCGUGGGGAGCAAACAGGAUUAGAUACCCUGGUAGUCCACGCCGUAAACGAUGAGUGCUAAGUGUUAGAGGGUUUCCGCCCUUUAGUGCUGCAGCAAACGCAUUAAGCACUCCGCCUGGGGAGUACGACCGCAAGGUUGAAACUCAAAGGAAUUGACGGGGGCCCGCACAAGCGGUGGAGCAUGUGGGUUUAAUUCGAAGCAACGCGGAAAACCUUACCAGGUCUUGACAUCCUCUGACAAUCCUAGAGAUAGGACUUUCCCCUUCGGGGGACAGAGUGACAGUGGUGCAUGGUGUCGUCAGCCUCGUGUCGUGAGAAUGUUGGGUUAAGUUCCCCGCAACGAGCCGCAACCCUUUGAUCUUAGUUGCCAGCAUUCA